Molecule: long non-coding RNA, 960 nt
Organism: Tripterygium wilfordii
Lineage: Eukaryota; Viridiplantae; Streptophyta; Magnoliopsida; Celastrales; Celastraceae
Exons: 3
Source: RefSeq, a predicted model, not a curated record
UAUAGCAGAUUUUUGGACAUGGGCAAAGGUGAUGACGUUGACAUGAAAACUGGCUGAUCCGGUGAAGUUAAAAUUUGAUAAAUACUGGGAUAAUUUGGACAAUAUGAAUUACUUAUUAUAUGUGGCUGCUAUCCUUGACCCUCGUUAGAAGCUCAAAUAUCUGAAAUAUUACUUUGAAGAGAUCCAUGAUCAAUUUAAAAGGGAGGUUAUGGUGGAGAAAGUGAAAGACACAUUGACAAUAUUGUUUGAUCACUUUAAUGAUGGUACAGAUGAUAAAGGAGAGAGUAUUGACCAAAUUCAACCACCUAGUAAAUCAAUGAGAGUUGAGGACAAUGAUGAAGAUUGUGUGAGGAUGUUUGCUUCAAGGGUGGCCAUGAGAAUGAGAGCUUAUGAGAGUUUGGUGAAUCAGAUAGAGGUGGGGAGGUAUUUGGAUGAGACUUGUGAGAACUAUAGUGGAAAGUUUGACGUAUUGGCUUGGUGGAAGGUCAAUGGUAGCAAAUACCCUAUCUUUCUCGUGUGGCUAGGGCUGUGUUAGCUAUACCGGUAUCUAUCAUUGCUUCAGAGUCUACUUUUAGCACUAGUGGGCAAGUUAUUGGGCCAUAUAGAAGCUCUUUAUCUCCAAAAACAGUGGAGGUCCUUGUAUGUGCACAAAAUUGGUUAAGGGAGAAACCACUUUCAAUGGACAUUGAAGCCGAGAUGGAAGAUGUUGAGAAACUACAAGAAAUUGAACAUGAAAUGGGUUUGCCUGAAAUUAUGGUGGAGUGUGACCUUGCUAUCAUGGAAUGAGCAUUGAGCAGUGCAAAAGGUGAUUGCUAAAGAGUGAAGGAUGAAAAAUGAAGAAUUUGAAGAAAAUGAACUACACAACCUUUUGAUUUUCUGAUUACUAAUUAGCAUUGUAUGAUGUCUCUGCAUAUUUUAGAAUUUAGAUUUUGGACUAUUGUUAAAUUUUGUCAAUUUGUG